RNAcentral lists this ribosomal RNA (232 nucleotides) under uncultured bacterium. Its description in RNAcentral is "partial 16S ribosomal RNA". It matches the Rfam family "Bacterial small subunit ribosomal RNA", at positions 104 to 334 of the family's 1533-position model. The record is from RNAcentral.
CGGGGUGAGUAACGCGUGGAUAACCUGCCUCGCACUGGGGGAUAACAGUUAGAAAUGACUGCUAAUACCGCAUGAGCGCACAGUACCGCAUGGUACGGUGUGAAAAACUCCGGUGGUGUGAGAUGGAUCCGCGUCUGAUUAGCCAGUUGGCGGGGUAACGGCCCACCAAAGCGACGAUCAGUAGCCGACCUGAGAGGGUGACCGGCCACAUUGGGACUGAGACACGGCCCAA